CCUACGGGGAGCAGCAGUGAGGAAUAUUGGUCAAUGGACGCAAGUCUGAACCAGCCAUGCCGCGUGCAGGAAGACGGCUCUAUGAGUUGUAAACUGCUUUUGUACGAGGGUAAACGCAGAUACGCGUAUCUGUCUGAAAGUAUCGUACGAAUAAGGAUCGGCUAACUCCGUGCCAGCAGCCGCGGUAAUACGGAGGAUUCAAGCGUUAUCCGGAUUUAUUGGGUUUAAAGGGUGCGUAGGCGGUCGGAUAAGUUAGAGGUGAAAUCCCGAGGCUCAACUUCGGAAUUGCCUCUGAUACUGUUCGGCGAGAGAGUAGUUGCGGUAGGCGGAAUGUAUGGUGUAGCGGUGAAAUGCUUAGAGAUCAUACAGAACACCGAUUGCGAAGGCAGCUUACCAAGCUACUUCUGACGUUGAGGCACGAAAGCGUGGGGAGCAAACAGGAUUAGAUACCCGUGUAGUC
RNAcentral lists this ribosomal RNA (460 nucleotides) under uncultured bacterium. Its description in RNAcentral is "partial 16S ribosomal RNA". It matches the Rfam family "Bacterial small subunit ribosomal RNA", at positions 338 to 795 of the family's 1533-position model. The record is from RNAcentral.